This 380-nucleotide ribosomal RNA is filed under the name uncultured eukaryote. RNAcentral describes it as "partial 18S ribosomal RNA". It matches the Rfam family "Eukaryotic small subunit ribosomal RNA", at positions 592 to 976 of the family's 1831-position model. The record is from RNAcentral.
CAAUAGCGUAUAUUAAAGUUGUUGCAGUUAGAACGCUCGUAGUCGGAUUUCGGGGCGGGCUGACCGGUCUGCCGAUGGGUAUGCACUGGUCGGCGCGUCCUUCCUUCCGGAGACCGUUCCUACUCUUAACUGAGCGGGGGCGGGAGACGGAUCGUUUACUUUGAAAAAAUCAGAGUGUUUCAAGCAGGCAGCUCGCUCUUGCAUGGAUUAGCAUGGGAUAAUGAAAUAGGACUUUGGUGCUAUUUUGUUGGUUUCGAACACCGAAGUAAUGAUUAAAAGGGACAGUCAGGGGCACUCGUAUUCCGCCGAGAGAGGUGAAAUUCUCAGACCAGCGGAAGACGAACUACUGCGAAAGCAUUUGCCAGGGAUGUUUUCACUGA